RNAcentral lists this long non-coding RNA (1826 nucleotides) under Daucus carota (carrot). RNAcentral's name for it is "long non-coding RNA (DCAR_LNC007160)". The record is from RNAcentral. Lineage: Eukaryota; Viridiplantae; Streptophyta; Magnoliopsida; Apiales; Apiaceae.
CUCAACACUUGAUUAAAAUAAAAUAAAAUAAUAAGAUAAUAUAAAUUUUGGACAACAUGUCUUUUAAAAUGGAGCAACCUCAAAAUCAACAACAAAGAAAUCUUUGCUCCAAAAUAAUAUAAAUAUCCUCCAAAAUGUCAAAUCAUAAAUGGGCAUGCUCUUCACAAUCAACAAUAAAGUCUCAGUUCAGCACUCUAUCUUCUAGUAUUUUCAAAAUUCCAUAAUUUAACAUCUUCACAUGAAACCUUUUCCAUUUUAACCUCUGACAUAGUAUCUUGCUAUCCUCAAAAUUUCAACUUAAACCGAUUAGUACAGCUAGGUCAAAUUCUCGCUCAAAGAUGGUACUCAAAUUUAUCUCAGCAAGGCAAAACAGGAUUUUUAUCAUCAUCACAGCCACGCUCUAAAAUUCACUGUAAAUCGUAGGUUUACUAUUUUGGCAUGAAACCACCUCUGGGAUCUUCUAUACUCAGUACACUAUCAUCCCUCAAAAUUUCAACUCCAACUAAAGUGUUUAGCUAGGUGAAACAUUGCUUCAAAGUUCAGUGUUCAGUAAAUUCGUAGGUUAUUGACAACCCAUACUAAAACUGCCAUAACUUCUAGCUCGUUACUCCGAUUGACGCAAAAUCAGCGCCCAAAUAAACUAGAAAUCAUACACUACAACUUCCAUUGAGCAGUCGAUCACCCAAUCACAAUAAAACUGCUCCGAAACACUGCCCAAAAACAGGACAGCAAACUGAAUUUAAAAGUUUAUACCUUCUAUCGUUGAUAUUGCAACCUCACACGACUAUCCCCCACCUUUACUACAACUACCAGACCUGUAAUUUGGCUUCUCUUCUCCCACUUUUGUUGUUACCCACACACAACAGCCAUAUAACCUCCAUCUCGGACCAUUGCUCAGCAGCCAGCGGCUCCUCCUCCGCCAUCUAACAUCAACAAUCACUACUGCAUAUGACUUCCACACACACAACUUUGUUUCCCUCCUGUGCUACUGUUCUCACAACCUUCAACAUCCUUCUCUACUACUCCAUCUACCAAACGCAGCCACACCACAUACUUGCUCCACUACUACCUGUCUCAAUGUCUAACAGCUAUUUCUAUGAAUAACAACCUUGCUUUCUUCCUCCGAUUCAAACCCAACCACAUAUCAAUUCUCUCGCGAGCCGUCGUCCUCUCCAACUCCAAUGAGACCUCACCACCGCCCUGUUCAAACCAGCCUCCUUCAACUACAACUCCAUACCCAGCUAUAACAUAUGCACCCACAUACAAAACUCGACAACCAAGCAUCUCCUCCUUGCGACACCAGCCAAACACAACUCUUUUAAUACCCUCAUCCUCUCCUGUGCCCAUCUCUGAGAACUACAGUCCACCACCGACUGUCUAAGCCGUAGCCUCGCUAUCGUCAAAUCGCCUCCUGUAAUCUCCGUCUCCGUCGACCCCCUGCAACCACGCCGUUGCUAACCAACAAUAACACAACACCUCCAUACGCACCUGAGUCGUCGCCGCCCUUCUGAGACACCAGUCAAAACGGCCAGCCACCUCCGUUCAUCAAUCACUCCCGAACUCCGACCACCACAACAGCCUCCAUCCCUAACUCGAUUCUCAACAACAGAUGAAUACACACAGUGGUAUACACGCGUGCAAGAAAACUCAUGAAUUAAAUCUCACCUGAUUUCGCUGGUAAUUGAAAUCGAUUGAACUGAAAUUUUAAGAAACCCUAAAUCUCUCGGCCUUAUCUCUGUUUUUCGCUCUCCACCGCCUCCCCUGUUGCUGCUGUGUGUACCCUCUUUUUGUUUAAAAAGAAAAACAAUAUUUAUAUACAAUAACAG